This 911-nucleotide ribosomal RNA is filed under the name uncultured marine archaeon. RNAcentral's name for it is "bacterial SSU rRNA". It matches the Rfam family "Archaeal small subunit ribosomal RNA", at positions 5 to 922 of the family's 1478-position model. The record is from RNAcentral.
CGGUUGAUCCUGCCGGACCUGACUGCUAUCGGAUUGAUACUAAGCCAUGCGAGUCUUUGCAGUAAUGCAAGGCGGACUGCUCAGUAACACGUAGUCAACUUAACCUAUGGAUGGGUAUAACCUCGGGAAACUGAGAAUAAUUCCCAAUAGAUCAUUUAUCCUGGAAUGGUUGAUGAUUGAAAUGAUUCGUCGCCAUAGGAUGGGACUGCGGCCUAUCAGCUUGUUGGUGAGGUAAAGGCCCACCAAGGCUAUUACAGGUACGGGCUCUGAGAGGAGAAGCCCGGAGAUGGGUACUGAGACACGGACCCAGGCCCUAUGGGGCGCAGCAGGCGAGAAAACUUUGCAAUGUGCGAAAGCACGACAAGGUUAAUCCGAGUGAUUUCUGCUAAAGAAAUCUUUUGCCAGUUCUAAAAAUACUGGUGAAUAAGGGGUGGGCAAGUUCUGGUGUCAGCCGCCGCGGUAAAACCAGCACCUCAAGUUGUCAGGAGGAUUAUUGGGCCUAAAGCAUCCGUAGCCGGCUCUGUUAGUUUUCGGUUAAAUCCAUAUGCUCAACAUAUGGGCUGUCGGAAAUACUGCAGAGCUAGGGAAUGGGAGAGGUAGACGGUACUCGGUAGGAAGGGGUAAAAUCCUUUGAUCUAUCGAUGACCACCUGUGGCGAAGGCGGUCUACCAGAACAUGUUCGACGGUGAGGGAUGAAAGCUGGGGGAGCAAACCGGAUUAGAUACCCGGGUAGUCCCAGCUGUAAACGAUGCAGACUCGAUAAUGCACUGGCACAUAGCCAGUGCAGUGUCGCAGGGAAGCCGUUAAGUCUGCCGCCUGGGAAGUACGUACGCAAGUAUGAAACUUAAAGGAAUUGGCGGGGGAGCACCACAAGGGGUGAAGCCUGCGGUUCAAUUGGAGUCAACGCCGGG